Molecule: ribosomal RNA, 395 nt
Filed under: uncultured bacterium
Lineage: Bacteria
Description: bacterial SSU rRNA
Rfam family: Bacterial small subunit ribosomal RNA
Source: RNAcentral
GUGUCAGCAGCCGCGGUAAUACGGAGGGUGCGAGCGUUGUCCGGAAUCACUGGGCGUAAAGGGCGCGUAGGCGGCCUGAUAAGUAGGGGGUGAAAUCCUGCGGCUUAACCGCAGGGCUGCCUUCUAAACUGUCAGGCUUGAGCACAGUAGAGGCAGGUGGAAUUCCCGGUGUAGCGGUGGAAUGCGUAGAGAUCGGGAAGAACAUCAGUGGCGAAGGCGGCCUGCUGGGCUGUUGCUGACGCUGAGGCGCGACAGCGUGGGGAGCAAACAGGAUUAGAUACCCUGGUAGUCCACGCCGUAAACGAUGGGCACUAGGCGUCGGGGGGAGCGACCCUCCCGGUGCCGUCGCUAACGCAGUAAGUGCCCCGCCUGGGGAGUACGGCCGCAAGGCUGAA